RNAcentral lists this ribosomal RNA (3111 nucleotides) under Streptomyces sp. E2N166. Its description in RNAcentral is "bacterial LSU rRNA". It matches the Rfam family "Bacterial large subunit ribosomal RNA". The record is from RNAcentral. Lineage: Bacteria; Bacillati; Actinomycetota; Actinomycetes; Kitasatosporales; Streptomycetaceae.
UUAAGGGCGCACGGUGGAUGCCUUGGCACCAGGAACCGAUGAAGGACGUGGGAGGCCACGAUAGUCCCCGGGGAGCCGUCAACCAGGCUUUGAUCCGGGGGUUUCCGAAUGGGGAAACCCGGCAGUCGUCAUGGGCUGUCACCCGCUGCUGAACACAUAGGCAGUGUGGAGGGAACGCGGGGAAGUGAAACAUCUCAGUACCCGCAGGAAGAGAAAACAACCGUGAUUCCGGGAGUAGUGGCGAGCGAAACCGGAUGAGGCCAAACCGUAUACGUGUGAGACCCGGCAGGGGUUGCGUGUACGGGGUUGUGGGAUCUCUCUUCUACGGUCUGCCGGCCGUAGGGCGAGUCAGAAACCGUUGAUGUAGGCGAAGGACAUGCGAAAGGUCCGGCGUAGAGGGUAAGACCCCCGUAGUCGAAACAUCAGCGGCUCGUUUGAGAGACACCCAAGUAGCACGGGGCCCGAGAAAUCCCGUGUGAAUCUGGCGGGACCACCCGCUAAGCCUAAAUAUUCCCUGGUGACCGAUAGCGGAUAGUACCGUGAGGGAAUGGUGAAAAGUACCGCGGGAGCGGAGUGAAAUAGUACCUGAAACCGUGUGCCUACAAGCCGUGGGAGCGUCGGACAUCAAGCUUGCUUGGUGUCUCGUGACUGCGUGCCUUUUGAAGAAUGAGCCUGCGAGUUUGCGGUGUGUUGCGAGGUUAACCCGGGUGGGGAAGCCGUAGCGAAAGCGAGUCCGAACAGGGCGAUUCAGUAGCACGCUCAAGACCCGAAGCGGAGUGAUCUAGCCAUGGGCAGGUUGAAGCGGAGGUAAGACUUCGUGGAGGACCGAACCCACCAGGGUUGAAAACCUGGGGGAUGACCUGUGGUUAGGGGUGAAAGGCCAAUCAAACUCCGUGAUAGCUGGUUCUCCCCGAAAUGCAUUUAGGUGCAGCGUCGUGUGUUUCUUGCCGGAGGUAGAGCACUGGAUAGGCGAUGGGCCCUACCGGGUUACUGACCUUAGCCAAACUCCGAAUGCCGGUAAGUGAGAGCGCGGCAGUGAGACUGUGGGGGAUAAGCUCCAUGGUCGAGAGGGAAACAGCCCAGAGCAUCGACUAAGGCCCCUAAGCGUACGCUAAGUGGGAAAGGAUGUGGAGUCGCACAGACAACCAGGAGGUUGGCUUAGAAGCAGCCACCCUUGAAAGAGUGCGUAAUAGCUCACUGGUCUAGUGAUUCCGCGCCGACAAUGUAGCGGGGCUCAAGCGUACCGCCGAAGUCGUGUCAUUGCAGCAAUACGGCCAACGCCGGCUGUGAUGGGUAGGGGAGCGUCGUGUGCCGGGUGAAGCAGCCGCGGAAGCGAGUUGUGGACGGUUCACGAGUGAGAAUGCAGGCAUGAGUAGCGAUACAAACGUGAGAAACGUUUGCGCCGAUUGACUAAGGGUUCCUGGGUCAAGCUGAUCUGCCCAGGGUAAGUCGGGACCUAAGGCGAGGCCGACAGGCGUAGUCGAUGGAUAACCGGUUGAUAUUCCGGUACCCGCUGUGAAGCGUCAAACAUCGAGCAUCGUGAUGCUAAGGCCGUGAAGCCGUUCCGGACCCUUCGGGGAAAGGAAAGUGGUGGAGCCGCCGAACCAAGCGGUUAGUAGGUGAGUGAUGGGGUGACGCAGGAAGGUAGUCCAUCCCGGGCGGUGGUUGUCCCGGGGUAAGGGUGUAGGCCGUGCGAUAGGUAAAUCCGUCGCACAUUAGGCUGAGACCUGAUGCCGAGCCGAUUGUGGUGAAGUGGAUGAUCCUAUGCUGUCGAGAAAAGCCUCUAGCGAGUUUCAUGGCGGCCCGUACCCUAAACCGACUCAGGUGGUCAGGUAGAGAAUACCGAGGCGUUCGGGUGAACUAUGGUUAAGGAACUCGGCAAAAUGCCCCCGUAACUUCGGGAGAAGGGGGGCCAUUCCUGGUGAUGAGAUUUUCUCUCUGAGCUGGGGGUGGCCGCAGAGACCAGCGAGAAGCGACUGUUUACUAAAAACACAGGUCCGUGCGAAGCCGUAAGGCGAUGUAUACGGACUGACGCCUGCCCGGUGCUGGAACGUUAAGGGGACCGGUUAGCUCCAUUUCGGUGGGGCGAAGCUGAGAACUUAAGCGCCAGUAAACGGCGGUGGUAACUAUAACCAUCCUAAGGUAGCGAAAUUCCUUGUCGGGUAAGUUCCGACCUGCACGAAUGGCGUAACGACUUCUCGACUGUCUCAACCAUAGGCCCGGUGAAAUUGCACUACGAGUAAAGAUGCUCGUUUCGCGCAGCAGGACGGAAAGACCCCGGGACCUUUACUACAGUUUGAUAUUGGUGUUCGGUUCGGCUUGUGUAGGAUAGCUGGGAGACUGUGAACUCUGGACGCCAGUUCAGGGGGAGUCGUCGUUGAAAUACCAGUCUGGUCGUGCUGGAUGUCUAACCUGGGUCCGUGAUCCGGAUCAGGGACAGUGUCUGAUGGGUAGUUUAACUGGGGCGGUUGCCUCCUAAAGAGUAACGGAGGCGCCCAAAGGUUCCCUCAGCCUGGUUGGCAAUCAGGUGUUGAGUGUAAGUGCACAAGGGAGCUUGACUGUGAGACCGACGGGUCGAGCAGGGACGAAAGUCGGGACUAGUGAUCCGGCGGUGGCUUGUGGAAGCGCCGUCGCUCAACGGAUAAAAGGUACCCCGGGGAUAACAGGCUGAUCUUCCCCAAGAGUCCAUAUCGACGGGAUGGUUUGGCACCUCGAUGUCGGCUCGUCGCAUCCUGGGGCUGGAGUCGGUCCCAAGGGUUGGGCUGUUCGCCCAUUAAAGCGGUACGCGAGCUGGGUUUAGAACGUCGUGAGACAGUUCGGUCCCUAUCCGCUGUGCGCGUAGGAGUCUUGAGAAGGGCUGUCCCUAGUACGAGAGGACCGGGACGGACGAACCUCUGGUGUGCCAGUUGUCCUGCCAAGGGCAUGGCUGGUUGGCUACGUUCGGGAGGGAUAACCGCUGAAAGCAUCUAAGCGGGAAGCCUGCUUCGAGAUGAGGACUCCCACCCCCUUGAGGGGUUAAGGCUCCCAGUAGACGACUGGGUUGAUAGGCCGGAUCUGGAAGCACCGCAAGGUGUGGAGGUGACCGGUACUAAUAGGCCGAGGGCUUGUCCU